RNAcentral lists this unclassified non-coding RNA (537 nucleotides) under Lacticaseibacillus rhamnosus. Its description in RNAcentral is "Lactobacillus rhamnosus partial contains 16S ribosomal RNA, 16S-23S intergenic spacer, and 23S ribosomal RNA". The stretch from base 348 to 537 matches the Rfam family "Bacterial large subunit ribosomal RNA", at positions 1 to 191 of the family's 2925-position model. The record is from RNAcentral. Lineage: Bacteria; Bacillati; Bacillota; Bacilli; Lactobacillales; Lactobacillaceae.
AGAAUUUGUAACACCCGAAGCCGGUGGCGUAACCUUUAGGGAGCGAGCCGUCUAAGGUGGGACAAAUGAUUAGGGUGAAGUCGUAACAAGGUAGCCGUAGGAGAACCUGCGGCUGGAUCACCUUCUUUCUAAGGAAACAGACUGAAAGUCUGACGGAAACCUGCACACACGAAACUUUGUUUAGUUUUGAGGGGACGACCCUCAAGCACCCUAACGGGUGCGACUUUGUUCUUUGAAAACUGGAUAUCAUUGUAUUAAUUGUUUUAAAUUGCCGAGAACACAGCGUAUUUGUAUGAGUUUCUGAAAAAGAAAUUCGCAUCGCAUAACCGCUGACGCAAGUCAGUACAGGUUAAGUUACAAAGGGCGCACGGUGGAUGCCUUGGCACUAGGAGCCGAUGAAGGACGGAACUAAUACCGAUAUGCUUCGGGGAGCUAUAAGUAACCCCUGAUCCGGAGAUUCCCGAAUGGGGGAACCCAGUACACAUCAGUGUAUUGCUUGUCAGUGAAUACAUAGCUGGCCGGCGGCAGACGCGGGGA